Molecule: small RNA, 305 nt
Filed under: uncultured bacterium
Lineage: Bacteria
Description: bacterial SSU rRNA
Rfam family: Bacterial small subunit ribosomal RNA
Source: RNAcentral
GGCGCGUCUAACACAUGCAAGUCGCACGAGAAAGUGGGGGCAACUCCAUGAGUAAAGUGGCGUACCGGUGAGUAACACGUGACUAACCUACCUUCGAGUGGGGAAUAACCUCGGGAAACCGGGGCUAAUACCGCAUAACACCGAGAGGUCAAAGCAGUAAUGCGCUUGAAGAGGGGGUCGCGGCUGAUUAGCUAGUUGGUAGGGUAAUGGCCUACCAAGGCGACGAUCAGUAUCCGGCCUGAGAGGGCGCACGGACACACUGGAACUGAAACACGGGCCAGACUCCUACGGGAGGCAGCAGUGGG